GAUGAACGCUGGCGGCGUGCCUAAUACAUGCAAGUCGAGCGAACGGACGAGAAGCUUGCUUCUCUGAUGUUAGCGGCGGACGGGUGAGUAACACGUGGAUAACCUACCUAUAAGACUGGGAUAACUUCGGGAAACCGGAGCUAAUACCGAAUAAUAUUUUGAACCGCAUGGUUCAAAAGUGAAAGACGGUCUUGCUGUCACUUAUAGAUGGAUCCGCGCUGCAUUAGCUAGUUGGUAAGGUAACGGCUUACCAAGGCAACGAUGCAUAGCCGACCUGAGAGGGUGAUCGGCCACACUGGAACUGAGACACGGUCCAGACUCCUACGGGAGGCAGCAGUAGGGAAUCUUCCGCAAUGGGCGAAAGCCUGACGGAGCAACGCCGCGUGAGUGAUGAAGGUCUUCGGAUCGUAAAACUCUGUUAUUAGGGAAGAACAUAUGUGUAAGUAACUGUGCACAUCUUGACGGUACCUAAUCAGAAAGCCACGGCUAACUACGUGCCAGCAGCCGCGGUAAUACGUAGGUGGCAAGCGUUAUCCGGAAUUAUUGGGCGUAAAGCGCGCGUAGGCGGUUUUUUAAGUCUGAUGUGAAAGCCCACGGCUCAACCGUGGAGGGUCAUUGGAAACUGGAAAACUUGAGUGCAGAAGAGGAAAGUGGAAUUCCAUGUGUAGCGGUGAAAUGCGCGGAGAUAUGGAGGAACACCAGUGGCGAAGGCGACUUUCUGGUCUGUAACUGACGCUGAUGUGCGAAAGCGUGGGGAUCAAACAGGAUUAGAUACCCUGGUAGUCCACGCCGUAAACGAUGAGUGCUAAGUGUUAGGGGGUUUCCGCCCCUUAGUGCUGCAGCUAACGCAUUAAGCACUCCGCCUGGGGAGUACGACCGCAAGGUUGAAACUCAAAGGAAUUGACGGGGACCCGCACAGGCGGUGGAGCAUGUGGUUUAAUUCGAAGCAACGCGAAGAACCUUACCAAAUCUUGACAUCCUUUGACAACUCUAGAGAUAGAGCUUUCCCCUUCGGGGGACAAAGUGACAGGUGGUGCAUGGUUGUCGUCAGCUCGUGUCGUGAGAUGUUGGGUUAAGUUCCGCAACGAGCGCAACCCUUAAGCUUAGUUGCCAUCAUUAAGUUGGGCACUCUAAGUUGACUGCCGGUGACAAACCGGAGGAAGGUGGGGAUGACGUCAAAUCAUCAUGCCCCUUAUGAUUUGGGCUACACACGUGCUACAAUGGACAAUACAAAGGGCAGCGAAACCGCGAGGUCAAGCAAAUCCCAUAAAGUUGUUCUCAGUUCGGAUUGUAGUCUGCAACUCGACUACAUGAAGCUGGAAUCGCUAGUAAUCGUAGAUCAGCAUGCUACGGUGAAUACGUUCCCGGGUCU
RNAcentral lists this ribosomal RNA (1372 nucleotides) under uncultured bacterium. RNAcentral's name for it is "bacterial SSU rRNA". It matches the Rfam family "Bacterial small subunit ribosomal RNA", at positions 28 to 1381 of the family's 1533-position model. The record is from RNAcentral.